RNAcentral lists this ribosomal RNA (519 nucleotides) under uncultured fungus. RNAcentral describes it as "eukaryotic LSU rRNA". The stretch from base 91 to 241 matches the Rfam family "5.8S ribosomal RNA". The record is from RNAcentral. Lineage: Eukaryota; Fungi.
ACGAAUAGCCUUCUCGAAGGUAGUCCGUCUGCUAUACAUAAACUCCAGUACAUAAAAAUUGAAUGUAAUCAUGUAAAGCAUCUCUAAACUGAGUUUCUACAAAGCAUCUAAAGGUCUCGCAUGGAAGAAGAAGGCAGGGAAAUACGAUAAGUAAAGUGAAUGCAGAAUUCAGUGAAUCCAGAAUCUUUGGACGCACCUUGCGCUCCUUGGUAUUCCUCGGAGCAUGCCUGUGUGAGUAUCGCGAAAUCUUCAAAAUAAAUCUUGGUUCAUUCGAUUGAAUUUACUCGCACUGGAGGUAGCAGAUUCAUGUCUGAUCCAAACAAAAUUAUCACUCGGAUCUCAGUGAAAUCGGUUCCACUCGGCGUGAUAAGUAUCUCUCGCAGAGGACACCCAAAGAGGUGGCCGGGGUUACAGAUGAACCGAUUAAAAUAGUCUAUUCACUUAGACAAAUUUAUUGGAGAUGUGAUCUCAACUCAGGUAGGAAUACCCGCUGAUUUUUAUGAUUCAGUAAGCGGAGGA